AUUGAACGCUGGCGGCAUGCCUAACACAUGCAAGUCGAACGCGAAAGUCCUUCGGGAUGAGUAAAGUGGCGCACGGGUGAGUAAUGCAUGAGAACAUGCCCUUAGAUGGGGAAUAACGUUUGGAAACGAACGCUAAUACCGCAUAAUCUCGAGAGAGUAAAGGUGGCGCCGCAAGGGCUACCGUCUAAGGAUUGGCUCAUGUCCCAUUAGCUAGUUGGCGGGGUAAUGGCCCACCAAGGCAACGAUGGGUAUGUGGUCUGAGAGGAUGAUCACACACACUGGAACUGAGACACGGUCCAGACUCCUACGGGAGGCAGCAGUAGGGAAUAUUGCACAAUGGGGGAAACCCUGAUGCAGCAACGCCGCGUGAGUGAAGAAGGCCCUUGGGUCGUAAAGCUCUUUAGCGAGGGAAGAGGGUAGAUACGGUGAAUAAUCGUGUUUGCUGACGGUACCUCGAGAAUAAGCACCGG
RNAcentral lists this ribosomal RNA (470 nucleotides) under uncultured bacterium. RNAcentral's name for it is "partial 16S ribosomal RNA". It matches the Rfam family "Bacterial small subunit ribosomal RNA", at positions 30 to 496 of the family's 1533-position model. The record is from RNAcentral.